CGAAGGGGUAGAGGCGCGAUGAUUAAGAGUAGCCUGAAGGAGACCGAAAGUCGAUGAAUUCAGGAGAAAGGAUGAGUCGCCGAAGUCAGUGAGUCAAAUCACUGGCUGGGGGCAUAUUUAAGAGAUAUGUCACUGUCUUUAUGACUGCCAAUCAUAAAGGAGCACUAUCUUAAGG
This is a regulatory RNA element of Clostridiales bacterium CHKCI006, 175 nucleotides long. It matches the Rfam family "Lysine riboswitch aptamer". Rfam says of the family: Riboswitches are metabolite binding domains within certain messenger RNAs that serve as precision sensors for their corresponding targets. Allosteric rearrangement of mRNA structure is mediated by ligand binding, and this results in modulation of gene expression. The record is from Rfam. NCBI's taxonomy places the organism in Bacteria, Bacillati, Bacillota, Clostridia, Eubacteriales.